This is a non-coding RNA of Malaclemys terrapin pileata, 360 nucleotides long. Lineage: Eukaryota; Metazoa; Chordata; Testudines; Emydidae. The record is from the annotation of a RefSeq genome assembly.
AUGAUCACACAGACUCAGCUACUCUGGCUCCUUGUCCUCUGCAUUCAGGACUCCAGCGGGCAGCUUGUGCUGACUCAGACUCCGGAAUCCCUGGAGGUGUCUCCAGGAGACACAGUCACCGUGUACUGCAAAGCCAGUUCCAGUGUUACCAGCAACUUCAUGGCCUGGUACCAACAGAAAUCAGGACAAGUUCCUAAGCUCCUUAUCUACGGUGCUUCCACCCGUGCCUCUGGGAUCCCAGACCGGUUCAGUGGCAGUGGGUCUGGCACGGACUUCACUUUUACAAUCAGCCGGGUUGAAGCUGAUGAUGCUGGAGAUUAUUACUGCCAGCAACAUAGCAGCUCUCUUCUCACACAGUGA